UAUAAUGGGUCAGCGACUUAUAUUCUGUAGCAAGGUUAACCGAAUAGGGGAGCCGAAGGGAAACCGAGUCUUAACUGGGCGUUAAGUUGCAGGGUAUAGACCCGAAACCCGGUGAUCUAGCCAUGGGCAGGUUGAAGGUUGGGUAACACUAACUGGAGGACCGAACCGACUAAUGUUGAAAAAUUAGCGGAUGACUUGUGGCUGGGGGUGAAAGGCCAAUCAAACCGGGAGAUAGCUGGUUCUCCCCGAAAGCUAUUUAGGUAGCGCCUCGUGAAUUCAUCUCCGGGGGUAGAGCACUGUUUCGGCAAGGGGGUCAUCCCGACUUACCAACCCGAUGCAAACUGCGAAUACCGGAGAAUGUUAUCACGGGAGACACACGGCGGGUGCUAACGUCCGUCGUGAAGAGGGAAACAACCCAGACCGCCAGCUAAGGUCCCAAAGUCAUGGUUAAGUGGGAAACGAUGUGGGAAGGCCCAGACAGCCAGGAUGUUGGCUUAGAAGCAGCCAUCAUUUAAAGAAAGCGUAAUAGCUCACUGGUCGAGUCGGCCUGCGCGGAAGAUGUAACGGGGCUAAACCAUGCACCGAAGCUGCGGCAGCGACGCUGAUGCGUUGUUGGGUAGGGGAGCGUUCUGUAAGCCUGCGAAGGUGUGCUGUGAGGCAUGCUGGAGGUAUCAGAAGUGCGAAUGCUGACAUAAGUAACGAUAAAGCGGGUGAAAAGCCCGCUCGCCGGAAGACCAAGGGUUCCUGUCCAACGUUAAUCGGGGCAGGGUGAGUCGACCCCUAAGGCGAGGCCGAAAGGCGUAGUCGAUGGGAAACAGGUUAAUAUUCCUGUACUUGGUGUUACUGCGAAGGGGGGACGGAGAAGGCUAUGUUGGCCGGGCGACGGUUGUCCCGGUUUAAGCGUGUAGGCUGGUUUUCCAGGCAAAUCCGGAAAAUCAAGGCUGAGGCGUGAUGACGAGGCACUACGGUGCUGAAGCAACAAAUGCCCUGCUUCCAGGAAAAGCCUCUAAGCAUCAGGUAACAUCAAAUCGUACCCCAAACCGACACAGGUGGUCAGGUAGAGAAUACCAAGGCGCUUGAGAGAACUCGGGUGAAGGAACUAGGCAAAAUGGUGCCGUAACUUCGGGAGAA
This 1131-nucleotide ribosomal RNA is filed under the name Escherichia coli. RNAcentral describes it as "partial 23S ribosomal RNA". It matches the Rfam family "Bacterial large subunit ribosomal RNA", at positions 611 to 1744 of the family's 2925-position model. The record is from RNAcentral. Lineage: Bacteria; Pseudomonadati; Pseudomonadota; Gammaproteobacteria; Enterobacterales; Enterobacteriaceae.